AUGGCAAUCCAUGGCAGUUCAUCUUUUAAGCGUUCCCAAAUCAGAUAAGGAAGCUUAAGCGACCAAAACAAUACGCUCCCUCUCUUCUGUCAUCCGAUGGUUCAUGUCUUGUACUAUUCUGUCAUCCGAUGGUUCAUGUCUUGUACUCUGUACCACUUACUAGAUUUUAAUGGAGGAUUUUAAUAACAAUGUCAGGCAUCAACUCGAUUAUCGAGAUUUCACAAAGUUUGUGUUCAUGCGAACUUGCCUUGCUGUAUAAUGAUGAUAAUAACCCUUUAUCUAUGGAGUCUUCUAUUGUAUUUGCAUCAAUGGUUAUUUAUAUCCAUAAUCCCCAAUUAGCUAGUUGAUUAAUUGCUAUUAUAUUCAUAUUUUCGCCAUUUAACAGGAUUAAAAGCAAACAUUUUUUUAAAGUGAUUCUACACACUACUAAUAUUUUAAUAAAAAAUAUUAUAUUUCACAAAAUUAUACUAUCAAAUAUAUCUCUUCUGAAGCAAUAUCUCUUAUUUAGAAUAGUUGUUGUUAAGAACAAUUUUUGUUUGAGAAUAAUUAUGUGUUAAGCAACACUAAUAUUGUUAUCCAAAGUGGUUAGCAUUUGGCUAAGUCUGUUAUCAAAGUUGUUAAGAAGAGUUUUUGCUUAGCUAUCUAAAAAUAUUAUGCUCAAAAUAUACAGAAACAAGUUUUGAAGUCUAAAUACAUAAUUGAUUUUUCUUCAUAGCAGCUUAGUCUUUGCUUCUCUUGAAUCUAAGUUUACCUAAGUUUCUUCAUGGUAUCAGCCGCUGGGUGAUCCUCAGUCCUAUGGCUACCACGAACUCCAUCGACUCUGCCUCUGUUGAUGGUGGUUGCGUAGCCUUUAGUGGCGAUAGAGUGGUGACUUCUUUCCCUCGGCAUGACGUUGCGAAACUUGAUAAAGGCACCUUCAUCCAAUGGAAACAAUAGGUUCGUUUAAUUUUAGGUGGUUAUGGUCUAAUAGGAUUUAUAGAUGGCACUCUACCUCAGCCGUCACGCUUCGUUCAAUCAUCGGACGGUUCCCUCGUUGCUAAUCCGUCUGCACUGGUGUUUGAGCAACAAGAUCAGUUGCUUACCUCGUGGCUCCUAUCCACGAUUAGUACCUCGUGUUUUUCUUCCUCCACGGAUGCUCGAUCGGCCUGCGAUGUGUGGAACACAGCGAUGAGUCUCUUUGCGGCCAACACUGGUGCUAAGUAGUCCUGGACUCAUCACGAGUUACACUCGCUAAAGAAAGGUACUCUUUCUGUCAAGAAUUAUGUGGCUCGUAUUAAAAAUUUGUGUGCUCUUUUGGAAGCUUCUGGCACGAGAAUUCCAGAGGCGGAGAAGACUCAGGUCAUGCUUGCAGGUUUACCAUAUGAGUUUGAUACUGUUGUUUCCUCGGCAUCUCUUUCAUCGGAGCCGAUGCCGUUCCAACGAUUGGUUGAGGCUUUGCUUGAAUGUGAGAACCGUCAGCUACGAGCGGUUCAGGAGGUGGCCAUGCAAGCUAAUCUUGUAGAAGGAGAUCUGUCGCAGGUUUCGGCAAGGUCAGUUCGUGGUGGUCGCCCUCCAUCCAGUGGCUGUGGGAAAAGGUUUUGGCCGCGCAUUCAAUGCUAAAUCUGCAGUCGGUACGGACAUAUUGCUCAACGGUGUUUUUACCGGUUUAAUCGUGACUUUGACGAGUUGACAGAUCAGUCUACUCCUAGGUUGUCGCGUUCGCCGCCAGCGUUGGGAUUGUCUGCUCCAUCCAUUGCUUCUACACUGCAACGAAAUUUUGCUUCUAAAUAUGGGGGUCUUCUGCGCAAAGAAUGAGGUUUACCUAUCCAUUCAGUCAAAAUCAAGUUCAAUUUGGUCAAAAUUGGUUUCCAGCUGGCCAAAAUGUUGGUGCUUCUGGUGGACCGAAUUAUUCCAACUUGAAUGGGCAUGGUGGUUUAUUUUUUGGGCCGAAUAAUGCUUAUAUGGAUGGCAUGUGCCUAGGCCUAAUUUGGGUGAUUUAGUUGGGCCAAGCAGGCCUAAUUUGUGGUGCACAUAAUGGUCUUUCUAGGCCACUUCAUAAUCCAAGUACUAUUGGGCAUGGCAAUUUAAAUAAUGUUGGGCCCAUGAGUAACUGUGUUCAAGUUGGAUAUCAGCUAAAUCGUGAUCAUUUUGUUGGGGCGUUGAAUGGCGACAGGUGUGAUGCUUCAGCCCUGCUUGUUCCUUAGAAAGCCAAACUGCGAGCUCGAAAUUAUACCGGUUCAGAUCCGUAUAUUGGUAUUCCUCGGGUCUGUGAUUUACAUGUGUCUGAUUAUUCAGAUUUUUUGGGGUCACAUAUCAACACUGCUCAGUUUGGGACUACUGAUGGUGGCACAGAUUCGUAUAUACCCAUGUCUGUUGGUUCUGCGUCCUGGUACCCCGACUCAGGUGCUAGCAAUCAUGUCUGUCAUGAUGCGUCGACUUUGCAUAACUCCACUCCGUAUUUAGGUAAGUCUCCUCUCUUGAUGGGUGACAGGACUCCCGCACCGAUCUCUUCUAUUGAUGAUUUCUUACCUACACGGUCUAAAUUGCUUCGAUUAUCUAAUGUAUUGUGUGUGCCGAGAAUACGUAAAAUUCUGUUGUCUGUAUCGCAGUUUGCAAAUGAUAAUAAUGUGUAUUUUGAGUUUCACCGGACAUAUUGUGUUAUUAAGGACAUCAUGACCCGGAAACUCUGCUGAAGAGCCACAUUCGUGAUGGUUUAUACCAGUUCUCUCUGCC
RNAcentral lists this long non-coding RNA (2712 nucleotides) under Gossypium barbadense (sea-island cotton). RNAcentral's name for it is "long non-coding RNA (GBAR_LNC012860)". The record is from RNAcentral. Lineage: Eukaryota; Viridiplantae; Streptophyta; Magnoliopsida; Malvales; Malvaceae.